GACGAACGCUGGCGGCGUGCCUAAUACAUGCAAGUAGAACGCAGUUGCGAACGGGUGAGUAACGCGUAGGUAUCUGCCUCAUAGCGGGGGAGAACUAUUGGAAACGAUAGGUAAUACCGCAUACUGUGAGAUGGACCUGCGUUGUAUUAGCUAGUUGGUGAGGUAAGGGCGCACCAAGGCGACGAUACAUAGCCGACCGGAGAGGGUGUGUGGGCAUGCUGGGACUGAGACGCGGCCAGGACCCGCACAGGAGGCAGCAGUAGGGAGUAUUCGGGAAUGGUCGGAAGUCUGACCGAGCCAGGCCCAGUGAGUGAGGAUGGUUUUCGGAUCCUAAAGCUCUGUUGUUAGAGAAGCGGUAACUAAACAGAAAGGGACGGCUAACUACGUGCCAGCAGCCGCGGUAAUUC
Molecule: ribosomal RNA, 407 nt
Filed under: uncultured bacterium
Lineage: Bacteria
Description: partial 16S ribosomal RNA
Rfam family: Bacterial small subunit ribosomal RNA
Source: RNAcentral